UACGGGGGGAGCAAGCGUUGUUCGGAUUUACUGGGCGUAAAGGGCGCGUAGGCGGUCGUGACAAGUCACUUGUGAAAUCUCCGGGCUUAACUCGGAACGGUCAAGUGAUACUGUCGGACUAGAGUACAGAAGGGGCAACUGGAAUUCCUGGUGUAGCGGUGAAAUGCGCAGAUGUCAGGAGGAACACCGGUGGCGAAGGCGGGUCUCUGGGCCGUAACUGACGCUGAGGAGCGAAAGCGUGGGGAGCGAACAGG
Molecule: ribosomal RNA, 254 nt
Filed under: uncultured bacterium
Lineage: Bacteria
Description: partial 16S ribosomal RNA
Rfam family: Bacterial small subunit ribosomal RNA
Source: RNAcentral